Molecule: small RNA, 696 nt
Filed under: Pongo abelii (Sumatran orangutan)
Lineage: Eukaryota; Metazoa; Chordata; Mammalia; Primates; Hominidae
Description: processed transcript
Source: RNAcentral
CUCCCGGCGCGGUCACCGGCGCGGGCUAUGGCUGCGACUUCUCUAAUGUCCGCUUUGGCUGCUCGGCUGCUGCAGCCCGCGCACAGCUGCUCCCUUCGCCUUCGCCCUUUCCACCUCGCGGCAGUUCGAAAUGAAGCUGUUGUCAUUUCUGGAAGGAAACUGGCCCAGCAGAUCAAGCAGGAAGUGCGGCAGGAGGUAGAAGAGUGGGUGGCCUCAGGCAACAAACAGCCACACCUGAGCGUGAUCCUGGUUGGCGAGAAUCCUGCAAGUCACUCCUACGUUCUCAACAAAACCAGGGCAGCUGCAGAUGUGGGAAACCCAAGCAGAGGAGGCUAAUGUGAUCGAACUGUAUCCUAAAACUUUGUCAUAGGAAAUCAGACUAUAUCUUUCGGGGUUUAUAGACUAGGACAGGAGAUACUGGAAUCAACAGUGAGACAAUUGUGAAACCAGCUUCAAUUUCAGAGGAAGAAUUGUUGAAUUUAAUCAAUAAACUGAAUAAUGAUGAUAAUGUAGAUGGCCUCCUUGUUCAGCUGCCUCUUCCAGAGCAUAUUGAUGAGAGAAGGAUCUGCAAUGCUGUUUCUCCAGACAAGGAUGUUGAUGGCUUUCAUGUAAUUAAUGUAGGACGAAUGUGUUUGGAUCAGUAUUCCAUGUUACCGGCUACCCCAUGGGGUGUGUGGGAAAUAAUCAAGCGAACUG